Molecule: long non-coding RNA, 748 nt
Organism: Corythoichthys intestinalis (scribbled pipefish)
Lineage: Eukaryota; Metazoa; Chordata; Actinopteri; Syngnathiformes; Syngnathidae
Exons: 4
Source: RefSeq, a predicted model, not a curated record
GGCUUAGUGGUUAGCAAGCGGUUUGGUUUCCCGUGUCGUGCCAAACAGCUCAAUAGUGGACACCCCUCCACCUCCUCCAUUCAUGGUCGCUAAUAAAGUUAAUAACUCGAGCACCGACAUACCGUCGGUGUGACUUGCUUCGACCACAAGAGUUUGCUGUGUACUAGUGCAGAGUUUUCUCGGGUUUAUGAGGAACUGUUAAGAUGGCGUCAAGCUCUGUGCUCAUGAAUAGACAGUCAACUGACAAGAUCAUUGAAAGGCUUGAAAGCAUAUGUCACUUUUGGAAAGCGGCCUGUAUUCUCUACGAAUUCCACCAGACCAACAGAAGAGCGGCGUCACUGGCUGGCCCCAGUGUUAAGCUGAGCAUGUGUGCAACAUGAAUGAGAGGUCUGUCUGUUGAUCCGCAUUCACUCCCUGGCCCCAUCUCCAUUUGUCUUUCCACUUUUAUUGCAUUUUUUACAUCAGCACCCAUUGGUAAUAAUCACCCAAACAUACAAUAUACAAAAGUCCUAUUCAGUGGAUCUGCAAAAGUCCAAAAUAUUUGCUGCAGUUGACGGCGAUAGACGUCCAAUCCAUUUUUAACAGGGGGUGCUGGCAGUGAUAAUUCAGCCAAUGAGUAAAUGGGAAGAUCUAUUAUUUUGAACACAUUUUAAGGUUUGUCAUGCUGAGGCUGCAAAUAGUUGUUGACGUAUAAGAUUAAAGUGACUGUUAUUUUUGUCCAUGAGUUGAUGAUGAUUUACUUACUGGU